UACGAAGGGUGCAAGCGUUGUUCGGAAUUACUGGGCGUAAAGGGCGCGUAGGCGGCCGCCUAAGUCAGACGUGAAAUCCCUCGGCUCAACCGGGGAACUGCGUCUGAUACUGGGUGGCUUGAAUCCGGGAGAGGGAUGCGGAAUUCCAGGUGUAGCGGUGAAAUGCGUAGAUAUCUGGAGGAACACCGGUGGCGAAGGCGGCAUCCUGGACCGGCAUUGACGCUGAGGCGCGAAAGCCAGGGGAGCAAACGGG
This 253-nucleotide ribosomal RNA is filed under the name uncultured bacterium. Its description in RNAcentral is "partial 16S ribosomal RNA". It matches the Rfam family "Bacterial small subunit ribosomal RNA", at positions 524 to 776 of the family's 1533-position model. The record is from RNAcentral.